AGGGCUGAUGAAAGCUCAUGGAUGGCCU
This 28-nucleotide non-coding RNA is filed under the name Homo sapiens (human). The record is from RNAcentral. Lineage: Eukaryota; Metazoa; Chordata; Mammalia; Primates; Hominidae.